This 957-nucleotide ribosomal RNA is filed under the name bacterium enrichment culture clone S_2011_SML_2. RNAcentral's name for it is "bacterial SSU rRNA". It matches the Rfam family "Bacterial small subunit ribosomal RNA", at positions 1 to 951 of the family's 1533-position model. The record is from RNAcentral.
AACGAAUUCGCCCUUAGAGUUUGAUCAUGGCUCAGGAUGAACGCUGGCGGCGUGCCUAAUACAUGCAAGUCGAACGAAGAUCUAGCUUGCUAGAUCUUAGUGGCGAACGGGUGAGUAAUACAUAAAUAAUCUGCCCAUGUGACUGGGAUAACUAUUGGAAACGAUAGCUAAUACCGGAUAGGUUAAUUGGAGGCAUCUCUGAUUAAUUAAAGUAGGAUUUCUACACAGAUGGAUGAGUUUAUGGCGCAUUAGUUAGUUGGUGGGGUAACGGCCUACCAAGACGAUGAUGCGUAGCCGACCUGAGAGGGUGACCGGCCACACUGGGACUGAGACACGGCCCAGACUCCUACGGGAGGCAGCAGUAGGGAAUUUUCGGCAAUGGGCGCAAGCCUGACCGAGCAACGCCGCGUGAGUGAUUAAGGCCUUCGGGUUGUAAAGCUCUGUUGUAAGGGAAGAACAUUCAGGAUAGGAAAUGAUCUUGAACUGACGGUACCUUACCAGAAAGCCACGGCUAACUACGUGCCAGCAGCCGCGGUAAUACGUAGGUGGCAAGCGUUAUCCGGAAUUAUUGGGCGUAAAGGGUGCGUAGGCGGUUUAUUAAGUCUAUGGUGAAAGUGCGGGGCUCAACCCCGUAUGGCCAUAGAAACUGGUAGACUUGAGUGCAGGAGAGGGCAAUGGAAUUCCAUGUGUAGCGGUAAAAUGCGUAGAUAUAUGGAGGAACACCAGUGGCGAAGGCGGUUGCCUGGCCUGUAACUGACGCUGAGGCACGAAAGCGUGGGGAGCAAAUAGGAUUAGAUACCCUAGUAGUCCACGCCGUAAACGAUGAAUACUAAGUGUUGGAGAAAUUCAGUGCUGCGUUAACGCAAUAAGUAUUCCGCCUGGGGAGUAUGCACGCAAGUGUGAAACUCAAAGGAAUUGACGGGACCCCGCACAAGCGGUGGAUUAUGUUGUUUAAUU